This 497-nucleotide ribosomal RNA is filed under the name uncultured bacterium. RNAcentral describes it as "partial 16S ribosomal RNA". It matches the Rfam family "Bacterial small subunit ribosomal RNA", at positions 28 to 507 of the family's 1533-position model. The record is from RNAcentral.
GAUGAACGCUGGCGGCGUGCCUAAUACAUGCAAGUCGAGCGAACGGACGAGAAGCUUGCUUCUCUGAUGUUAGCGGCGGACGGGUGAGUAACACGUGGAUAACCUACCUAUAAGACUGGGAUAACUUCGGGAAACCGUAGCUAAUACCGGAUAAUAUUUUGAACCGCAUGGUUCAAAAGUGAAAGACGGUCUUGCUGUCACUUAUAGAUGGAUCCGCGCUGCAUUAGCUAGUUGGUAAGGUAACGGCUUACCAAGGCAACGAUGCAUAGCCGACCUGAGAGGGUGAUUGGCCACACUGGAACUGAGACACGGUCCAGACUCCUACGGGAGGCAGCAGUAGGGAAUCUUCCGCAAUGGGCGAAAGCCUGACGGAGCAACGCCGCGUGAGUGAUGAAGGUCUUCGGAUCGUAAAACUCUGUUAUUAGGGAAGAACAUAUGUGUAAGUAACUGUGAACAUCUUGACGGUACCUAAUCAGAAAGCCACGGCUAACUACGUG